CGGGAUAUAUUUAUUCAAGAGCUAGUGUUAAUCUUUGUAUCUGGUAUUCUUGACGCGGGUGUUGAAAGGUUCAAACCAAUGCUUUAUCUAUGGAAGGUGCGUUGGUACUCAUGAAUCGUUGGUCAGCUGGCUACGACAUGGACAGCGUUGCUAUGUAACGCGUUCCUUAUAUUUAUAUAAAAUAACAGUAUGAAUA
Molecule: long non-coding RNA, 196 nt
Organism: Actinia tenebrosa (Australian red waratah sea anemone)
Lineage: Eukaryota; Metazoa; Cnidaria; Anthozoa; Actiniaria; Actiniidae
Source: RefSeq, a predicted model, not a curated record